AACGCACAUUGCGCCCCUUGGUAUUCCAGGGGGCAUGCCUGUCCGAGCGUCAUCUCAACCCUCAAGCGCAGCUUGGUCUUGAGCCUCACCGGGCCUCCCGGUGGGCUUUAAAGUGAGUGGCGGUGCCGCCGGGGCCCCGAGCGCAGUAAGCACGCUCGCUACGGGACCCCCGCGCGCGCCGGCCGUGAAAACCCCCCCUCUCUCCAUGGUUGACCUCGGAUCAGGUAGGGAUACCCGCUGAACUUAA
This 247-nucleotide unclassified non-coding RNA is filed under the name uncultured Ascomycota. RNAcentral's name for it is "sequence contains ITS2". The stretch from base 1 to 52 matches the Rfam family "5.8S ribosomal RNA", at positions 103 to 154 of the family's 154-position model. Lineage: Eukaryota; Fungi; Ascomycota. The record is from RNAcentral.